AUUAUCAUUUAGGAAAUGGGUAAGUUUUAGUGCUUUUAUCAGAUUCUGUUUGAUUUAAUUGUUUCUUUGAACCAACCUUUUGGGAUCUCCAAUCGAGGUGGUGGGGUUUCCAUCAAACAUCUUCUUAAUAAUAGUCAAGAAACUCAAAUUUAAUCUCAUAAUAAACCUUAAUUUGGUAUAUGAAAGCUAUAUGAAAGCUACGAUCUUAUCUCAUUAAAACCUAAUGUUUGACCUUAGAUUUACAGGAGCACUGAUUAUCAUUUAGGAAAUGGGUAAGUUUUAGUGCUUUUAUCAGAUUCUGUUUGAUUUAAUUGUUUCUUUGAACCAACCUUUUGGGAUCUCCAAUCGAGGUGGUGGGGUUUCCAUCAAACAUCUUCUUAAUAAUAGUCAAGAAACUCAAAUUUAAUCUCAUAAUGAACCUUAAUUUGGUACAUAUCCAUAAGGUCGCCAGUUGAAACUUUUGAUAUCACAGUUUUUAGGCUUAAUUUUGACCUUUUUGGAAGUAGUUUUUCAACUUUUCUAAGCACCCCUACAUUUUUCGGUAUUUGUACGAAUGUUUGUUACCUAAGUGUAUAUGGCUUUAUGCCAUUUAUUAUAUGUGGUAUGCGAUGCCCCUCCCCACAUUUUUUUAGAUAACUCAGGAUCAUGUAUGCUUGUAUUCAUCUGUAUUAGAGUUUAGAAUUUUUGUUCCGCAAUGGAUUAUACUGAACAAGGAGCAAUUCUUACGAGGAAUAAUGUUAAUUCUAACACAUUUAAUCUCGUUUAAGUUACCACAUACACAUUCCAUUAUGUUAUGGAAUGCUGACUCAAAACUACAACACUUCAUGUGUUAGUUUUUAUCAAAUUGGUUUGAGAUUUCAUAUUGUCUCUACGUAAACCAAUAUUGCUACAACAUUCGCCAGGCCUGCUACGAUGUGUGUCAGCUUUUGGAACUAUCCACUGAACUUCUUUUAAGCAUGUUGCUUGCUGAAGCUAAUUUAUAAUUUCAUAUGAAUAUUAGGCUUUCAUAGUUCUUUUUCUCAAUCACUUUCGCAUUAUGUUCACAGUGGUGAAUGUCAUAUGCUUUGUGAUUUGCAUAUUUGACUUACUUGAAAGUCAAUUCAUAUGACUCAUAGUCUUUGCUUGUGAGAGAUAUAUUUUAUUCGAAAAUUUCCAAUUUUACCUACAGACCUAAUAUAUCAAAUUAAUUGAUGUACAUAGGCUUGGCCAACAUGUAAUGGUGCUGUGUGGAUCCAUGGAUGGCCAUUGGCUAUUUCAGGAUUCUAAUGGUACAAAACAAGGAGAUGUGGGUUACAUAAAAAUCAGGAAACGCAUGGAAACUCUCACAGAAUUUUUCAAGAUGAGUUGAGGAAGGAGAAGACAAAUAAACACCAUAUAAGCACGGAACAAUCCUCUUCAAAUAGGGCUAAACCUGACAACAACAAAUCAAUGAGUUAGGAAGGGUUUGAUAGCUGAUAAUGAGUUAGACCUAACAACAACAAAUCAAUGAGCGAUAGCUGAUAAUGAUUUUUACCAGUAUUAACUUACUUACUUGGAUAGUCACUUCUAAAGUGUAUUGUGCUCCGAAUGAUAAACCAUCAGGUUGUUGUUGCCAUUGAGUUUUGAGAUGUUGCUCAUCAUUUGAUAAAUCUGAAUCUCCUCUUGAUAUACGCCCACAACAGAUCCACCUGCGCAUAUUCUUCUUCAAAUACACAGAUACUCCUCACACCUUUGUAGCUCCUGCAAACCGUUCAAACCAAACCAACUCGGUAUGUAUAUACAUAAAAGAGAAACUAUCUUGUAUCACUUGAAACAUUUAACGAGUUAGAAUAAUAUCACAGGGAAGGAAACUACUAGUUCAUUUUCAAGUUAAGAGCGCUUUCAUCUCACUACCUCCCAAAAUUGAAAACAAGUAAAAAGCAACCACUUCUUACAAGUGGUUAAGUAGAUAGGAUUCAUGUAUAUAAUAAAACAAUCAAACAGAACACAGAAACGUUUUAUCAAAUGGUCUUCACAAAAAGUAGGCGUACCAGAACAAUGCGUUGGAAAUCUCUCGAUUUGCAUUGUAUACACAAAAAAUAUUGCCUAUUUAAGGAUCUACCAUUCGACAAUGUGCUUAAAAUUUAAUGACUUUAAUACCCCUAUAUCCUACGCGUAUCCCACAACCAUCAUCUUCUUCACCACCUCUAGACUCCUUCGCCAACGUAAUCAACCAGCACCACUUGUUAUGGCCCCAAGCUAGGGUUAUAUGCCGCCGAUUCCACGUACAUCCUCUGUACACUUUCUGUACAUAGAAGCAGUAGAAAAUCGAGAGAGUUUGAUCUUUUAUCUUUACCAGCGGUCAAAUAUGUGUGUUUUGGCCAAAGUAAUGGUUAAGCUGAGACUUUUUUGUGUAGAAAUGAGAGAAUAGUGAAUUUGCUUGGUGAAGGCGGAGAGAGAGAAGACAAAUGUGCAAACGACCGGCGGCAGAGGGACGCCGAGUUUGGGUGGUUAAGCUGAGAAUGGCAAAAAAACUGAAAUCAAAAGAUGGGGUCAACUUGAAAAGAUCCAAGAAGCAGUAGAAAAUCGAGAGAGUUUGAUCUUUACCUAUACCAGCGGUCAAAUCUGUGUGUUUUGGCCUAAGUGGUGGUUAAGCUGAGACUUAUCGAGGGUUCGGUUGUCUCUUGAUCUUCAGUGUAGAGAUGAGAGAAGAGUGAGUUUGCUUGGUGAAGGCGGAGAGAGAGAGAAGACAGAUGUGCAAACGACCGGCGGCAAAGACAAAAACCCUACAUGGAAGAAGUCCUCUCUUUAUGGGAUAUCAACUGAAACCCUACAUUCCUUUUUGUUUGUUUUCGUUGGAAAAAGACAAAAAACUUGAUUUUCUUAAAAUAUGUUUUUUGUCUCAACGUUUCUAUCACAAAAGGCAACACUCUUUGUGUUCAAUAAAAAUAAAAGCAAUACUAUUUACUCGAAGAAAGAUAAAUCUGUUGAGAUUAUAAAAAGUAACCAUUUUUCGAAUUGACAAGGGCACAGCCGUCAUUUUACAAACACUUUUUUUUCUUUUUUGCUGCAGUAGCGUUCUAGAUACGCCUGCUAAAAGCUACGAACAUCAUCCUCGUAUUUUCUCUUUAUUACAAAUUCAUGCUCGUUUCUUUAAUUCAACUCUGGGCAUGUUCGUUUCUGGGUCUCAGCGACCCGCGGCCCGCAGACUGUAAUUUUUAGCGAUUAUGGUAAAUACCCUGCGACCAUACAUCGUAAAUUACAGAAAUACCCUUUCUGUUUGUAAGAAUCACAAAUAACCCAACCAUAAAUUAACUCUUUCUCCUCUUCUGAUUUUAUUCACAGUCGGCAAAAAAAUCUGCAUCUAGUAGCUCUUUUCUGAAAACUUCCAUUCACCGUUCUUGAGUAACACCUAGCAGCUCAUUCUCUAAUCGAACCGUUUCCGUCGGAUCCAUUGCUUUCCGAAGGUUUGGAAGUGAACAACAACAAGAACAAUGACGCAACUACUAAUCGCACGACUAUGAAACGAACAUAACUUGCGACAUAGAGUCGCAGUCUCAGAUCGCUGGUCGCGGGUCGCUGUGACGUUCAAACGAACAGAGACCGUCGCGUCUUCUUCUUCUUCUUCCAGAAAACCACCUCAGCUCUCAAAGCAAUCUUCAAGCCGUCUUCUUCCUCCUCCUUCGAUUUCGUCCUCCGAAGUUCUAGGAACCAAAUAAAUUAUCUAAUGAUCAAAUAAAAUGAUGUUUUUCAAUUUCAUCCUUCUUCAUUCCUCGUGUAUAAACAAAGAUCUCAUCAAAUAUAAUCAUUAAAAUAAGUUCAUCAGAAGACUCUAUAAUCUAAAUAAUUCUCUGGCGUAGUGGUAGUGGUUGAUUAACAUUAACUCUUACGCAAUGUGAAUGAGUGUAAGCUUCGUUGCCCGAACACGAUUGGUGCUGACCACACUAGGUGCUACCGCGUGCCUGAUACCAAGCAGAUCAAGAAUUGACUUUGGAGCCAACAAGAAAAUAUUUAUUUUAGGGGCUGAAUAAAUUAAGUUUCUCUCUAGUUCUGGUGGCAAAAGCUAGAUGUAUAACAGCAGGAAGUUAUAGAUUCGAAUAACAUGGGAACACCUUUUAAUAUUUUCCUGUUUUAUUUAGAUCAUGGACCAAAAAUUUUUUUUUGCUUCUGGACCCGAAAUUGUCAGGCCCGGCCCUGCUCUUACGGGCUCUUUAAAUCAUCCUUUUGAUCGUUUCGUUUCAUCGGACAGAUUGUGAAACAUUCAUAUAAAAUACACAUUAAAUUUUUGUGUUCAUUUAACAACAAGAAACCAGAAGAUCAUUGUUGAUUCAAGUCCUGACAUGAAAUGGAAAAUGAGAGAGAUGAACACUGAUGAAGACUAAAAGAGACAUAUAUAAUAGUAGUACAUGUUCAUGUUCAGAGAGAAAGACCAGAUUCUUCAUCCUCGUCCAGAGAUGAAGUGUAGGUAAAGUAGAACGUCCAGAUCAAACCAAACACUCC
This is a long non-coding RNA of Brassica rapa (field mustard), 4458 nucleotides long. RefSeq lists it as uncharacterized. The record is from RefSeq and is a predicted model, not a curated record. Lineage: Eukaryota; Viridiplantae; Streptophyta; Magnoliopsida; Brassicales; Brassicaceae.